RNAcentral lists this non-coding RNA (46 nucleotides) under Marmota monax (woodchuck). It matches the Rfam family "Histone 3' UTR stem-loop". From Rfam's summary of the family: The mRNAs of metazoan histone genes lack a poly-A tail. The record is from RNAcentral. Lineage: Eukaryota; Metazoa; Chordata; Mammalia; Rodentia; Sciuridae.
CCAAAGGCUCUUUUAAGAGCCACUUACAUAAUCAUUCAAAGGGCUU